GACGAACGCUGGCGGCGUGCUUAACACAUGCAAGUCGAACGGAAAGGCCCUGCUUGCAGGGUGCUCGAGUGGCGAACGGGUGAGUAACACGUGGGUGAUCUGCCCCUUACUUUGGGAUAAGCCUGGGAAACUGGGUCUAAUACUGGAUAGGACCAUGCUGUAGGUGGUGUGGUGGAAAGAUUUUUUCGGUAAGGGAUGAGCUCGCGGCCUAUCAGCUUGUUGGUGGGGUAAUGACCUACCAAGGCGUCGACGGGUAGCCGGCCUGAGAGGGUGGACGGCCACAUUGGGACUGAGAUACGGCCCAGACUCCUACGGGAGGCAGCAGUGGGGAAUAUUGCACAAUGGGCGCAAGCCUGAUGCAGCGACGCCGCGUGGGGGAUGACGGCAUUCGGGUUGUAAACUCCUUUCAGCCAUGACGAAGCCUCUUUUGGGGUGACGGUAGUGGUAGAAGAAGCACCGGCUAACUACGUG
Molecule: ribosomal RNA, 471 nt
Filed under: uncultured bacterium
Lineage: Bacteria
Description: partial 16S ribosomal RNA
Rfam family: Bacterial small subunit ribosomal RNA
Source: RNAcentral